Molecule: ribosomal RNA, 332 nt
Filed under: uncultured eukaryote
Lineage: Eukaryota
Description: partial 18S ribosomal RNA
Rfam family: Eukaryotic small subunit ribosomal RNA
Source: RNAcentral
CCCUUAGAUGUCCUGGGCUGCACGCGCGCUACACUGGAAGUUACGGAUUGAGAUACUACCUUGUCCGAAAUGGUCCGGGUAAUCACCUAAAAGCUUGUCAUAAUUGGAAUGGAUUAUUGUAACUAGUAAUCCUGAACGAGGAAUUCCUAGUAAGUCCCAGUCAACAGCUGGUACUGAUUACGUCCCUGCCCUUUGUACACACCGCCCGUCGCUACUACUGAUUGGACGUUUAAGCAAGAUUUUUAAACACUGACAGUGUGUAGUUCACGCUAUACUACGGUGAGAAGAAGAAGAUCGAGCUUACUUGUCUAGAGGAAGUAAAAGUCGUAACA